AUAGUACUCCCUCCGUUCGAAAAUACUUGUCAUCAAAAAGAAUAAAGAAGAUGUAUCUAGAUGUAUUUUAGUUCGAGAUACAUCUCUUCUUAUCUAUUUUGAUGACAAGUAUUUUCGGACAGAGGAAGUACAAG
Non-coding RNA from Triticum aestivum (bread wheat), 134 nucleotides. The record is from Rfam. Lineage: Eukaryota; Viridiplantae; Streptophyta; Magnoliopsida; Poales; Poaceae.